This 129-nucleotide ribosomal RNA is filed under the name uncultured bacterium. RNAcentral describes it as "partial 16S ribosomal RNA". It matches the Rfam family "Bacterial small subunit ribosomal RNA", at positions 402 to 523 of the family's 1533-position model. The record is from RNAcentral.
UGAGUGAAGAAGGGUUUCGGCUCGUAAAGCUCUGUUGUUGAAGAAGAACGUGCGUGAGAGUAACUGUUCACGCAGUGACGGUAUUCAACCAGAAAGUCACGGCUAACUACGUGCCAGCAGCCGCGGANA